AAAGUCCGAUACGAUGAAGGAGUGGCGAACCACAUCGGCCCCGAGCCGUGCGUCGCUGGCCGUGAGGCCAAUGAUGAAGCGUCGGUAGGGGAUGGCAUAGGCCAACCAUCGAGCCGCGAUAGGGAUAUCCCGGGUGCCGACGCUGUAGCCAUAGCGGAAGGCAACAUGGCCGAGCGCGCCAACGCGAGUGCUCGGGCAACCCGGCGUGGUCAGAGACCC
RNAcentral lists this non-coding RNA (219 nucleotides) under Rhizobiales bacterium GAS191. The record is from RNAcentral. Lineage: Bacteria; Pseudomonadati; Pseudomonadota; Alphaproteobacteria; Hyphomicrobiales.